This 254-nucleotide ribosomal RNA is filed under the name uncultured bacterium. RNAcentral describes it as "partial 16S ribosomal RNA". It matches the Rfam family "Bacterial small subunit ribosomal RNA", at positions 524 to 776 of the family's 1533-position model. The record is from RNAcentral.
UACGUAGGGGGCGAGCGUUGUCCGAAGUUACUGGGCGUAAAGCGCGCGUAGGCGGCUUUCUAAGUCUGGUGUGAAAGGUUCAGGGCUCAACCCGAACAGUGCACUGGAUACUGGCAAGCUUGAGGACGGGAGAGGGAAGCGGAAUUCCAGGUGUAGCGGUGAAAUGCGUAGAUAUCUGGAGGAACACCGAUGGCGAAGGCAGCUUCCUGGCCUGUUUCUGACGCUGAGGUGCGAAAGCGUGGGGAGCGAACGGG